AUCCUUUUGUGGUUGAUUAGUGUGGUGACUGAGUUUUCACACUAGUGUGUCAGGAGAGCUUUCCUCACACCUAGUUACCAGUGUUAGCCAUUGAGAACAUAUUGCCCAUUUGAUG
This is a non-coding RNA of Ictidomys tridecemlineatus (thirteen-lined ground squirrel), 115 nucleotides long. The record is from Rfam. Lineage: Eukaryota; Metazoa; Chordata; Mammalia; Rodentia; Sciuridae.